GAUAAACGCUGGCGGCGCACAUAAGACAUGCAAGUCGAACGGACUUAACCAUUAGUUUACUAUUGGAGCGGUUAGUGGCGGACUGGUGAGUAACACGUAAGCAACCUGCCUAUCAGAGGGGAACAACAGUUAGAAAUGGCUGCUAAUACCGCAUAAGACCACAGUACUGCAUGGUACAGUGGUAAAAACUCCGGUGGUAUGAGAUGGACCCGCGUCUGAUUAGGUAGUUGGUGAGGUAACGGCCCACCAAGCCGACGAUCAGUAGCCGACCUGAGAGGGUGACCGGCCACAUUGGGACUGAGACACGGCCCAG
This 313-nucleotide ribosomal RNA is filed under the name uncultured bacterium. Its description in RNAcentral is "bacterial SSU rRNA". It matches the Rfam family "Bacterial small subunit ribosomal RNA", at positions 28 to 334 of the family's 1533-position model. The record is from RNAcentral.